This 402-nucleotide ribosomal RNA is filed under the name uncultured bacterium. RNAcentral describes it as "bacterial SSU rRNA". It matches the Rfam family "Bacterial small subunit ribosomal RNA", at positions 356 to 773 of the family's 1533-position model. The record is from RNAcentral.
GGGGAAUCUUGCGCAAUGGGCGGAAGCCUGACGCAGCAACGCCGCGUGAACGAAGAAGGCCUUCGGGUUGUAAAGUUCUGUCAGGGGGGACGAAGAGUUGACGGUACCCCCAGAGGAAGCCCCGGCUAACUACGUGCCAGCAGCCGCGGUAACACGUAGGGGGCGAGCGUUGUCCGGAAUUACUGGGCGUAAAGGGCGUGUAGGCGGCCGAUCAAGUCAGGUGUGAAAAAUCAGGGCUUAACCCUGAUCGUGCACUUGAAACUGGUUGGCUUGAGUGCAGGAGAGGAAAGUGGAAUUCCCAGUGUAGCGGUGAAAUGCGUAGAUAUUGGGAGGAACACCAGUGGCGAAGGCGACUUUCUGGACUGCAACUGACGCUGAGGCGCGAAAGCUAGGGGAGCAAAC